This 717-nucleotide ribosomal RNA is filed under the name Brachybacterium paraconglomeratum. RNAcentral's name for it is "bacterial SSU rRNA". It matches the Rfam family "Bacterial small subunit ribosomal RNA", at positions 62 to 789 of the family's 1533-position model. Lineage: Bacteria; Bacillati; Actinomycetota; Actinomycetes; Micrococcales; Dermabacteraceae. The record is from RNAcentral.
UCGAGCGAUGACGGUGGUGCUUGCGCCACCUGAUUAAUGACCAACGGGUGAGUAACACGUGACUAACCUGCCCCCCACUUCGGGAUAACCUCUGGAGAUCGUGGCUAAUACCGGAUAUGAGCACUCAUCGAAUGGUGAGGGCUGGAAUCAUUUAUCUUGGGGGGAUGGACUCCCGGCCUAUCAUUUUGUUGGUGAGGUGAUGGCUCACCCCUACGAUGACAUCCCUCCGGCCUGAAAGGGCGACCGGCCAACUGGGACUGAAAACGGCCCCACUCCUACGGGAGGGCCAGUGGGGAAUAUUGCACAAUGGCGAAAGCCUGAUGCACCGACGCCGCGUGUGGGAUGACGGCCUUCGGGUUGGUACCCCUUUCCUAGGGAAGGAAGGUGAGUGACGGUACCUGCAGAAGAAUUGCCGGCUAUCUACGUGCCAGCACCCGCGGUCUCCGUAGGGCGCAAGCGUUGUCCGGAAUUAUUGGGCGUAAAGAGCUUGUAGGUGGCUUGUCGCGUCUGCCGUGAAAACCCGAGGCUCACCUCGGGCGUGCGGUGGGUACGGGCAGGCUUGAGUGUGGUAGGGGAGACUGAAACUCCUGGAGAAGCGGUGAAAUGCCCAGAUGUCAGCGAUGAACAUGCGAUGGAGAUAUGCAGGUCUCUGGGCCAUUACUGACACUGCCCAAGCACAAAGCACUGGACUACUCGAACAGGAUUAGCGUAGCCCUG